CGUAAGGCGCCGAAUGAGUCAUUAAAAAAUUAACAUCAUCCGAUCCCUAGUCGGCAUAGUUUAUGGUUAAGACUACGACGGUAUCUGAUCGUCUUCGAUCCCCUAACUUUCGUUCUUGAUUAAUGAAAACAUCCUUGGCAAAAUGCUUUUCGCAGUAGUUAGUCUUCAAUAAAUCCAAGAAUUUCACCUCUGACAAUUGAAUACUAAUCGCCCCCAAUAUCCCUAUUAAUCAUUACGUCGAUCCUAAGAAACCAACAAAUAGAACCAAACGUCCUAUUCAUUAUCCAUGCUAAUGUAUUCAAGCGCGA
RNAcentral lists this ribosomal RNA (308 nucleotides) under uncultured Glomus. Its description in RNAcentral is "partial 18S ribosomal RNA". Lineage: Eukaryota; Fungi; Glomeromycota; Glomeromycetes; Glomerales; Glomeraceae. The record is from RNAcentral.